RNAcentral lists this ribosomal RNA (468 nucleotides) under uncultured bacterium. RNAcentral describes it as "partial 16S ribosomal RNA". It matches the Rfam family "Bacterial small subunit ribosomal RNA", at positions 28 to 507 of the family's 1533-position model. The record is from RNAcentral.
GACGAACGCUGGCGGCGUGCUUAACACAUGCAAGUCGAACGGAAAGGCCCUGCUUUUGUGGGUUGCUCGAGUGGCGAACGGGUGAGUAACACGUGAGUAACCUGCCCUUGACUUUGGGAUAACUUCAGGAAACUGGGGCUAAUAUCGGAUAGGAGCUCCUGCUGCAUGGGGGGGGUUGGAAAGUUUCGGCGGUUGGGGAUGGACUCGCGGCUUAUCAGCUUGUUGGUGGGGUAGUGGCUUACCAAGGCUUUGACGGGUAGCCGGCCUGAGAGGGUGACCGGCCACAUUGGGACUGAGAUACGGCCCAGACUCCUACGGGAGGCAGCAGUGGGGAAUAUUGCACAAUGGGCGGAAGCCUGAUACAGCAACGCCGCGUGCGGGAUGACGGCCUUCGGGUUGUAAACCGCUUUCGCCUGUGACGAAGCGUGAGUGACGGUAAUGGGUAAAGAAGCACCGGCUAACUACGUG